RNAcentral lists this non-coding RNA (150 nucleotides) under Palpitomonas bilix. The record is from RNAcentral.
CAUUGUAUGUCGCAUCCCAAAGAGGGGAGGGGAGGGACGCAUCGAGUUCUUCUGUUGUUUGAUGAAAGAUGUUUCGGUUCUCAGAAAUAUUUUCGUGAAUGGUUCGUUUCGUUUCUGAAUCUGAUGUUGAGCGAUGCAAAAAGACAGCUU